UCUCAAAACCAUCUUCUCGAUCUGUUGAACCAACAAAGUAAACUUAUUUUCUGAGAAAUGGCUAACUCGAAAAUUCUUCUUUUUGAUUUGAGGUUGGGUAGAUGUUCCUCCACCGCUGAGGUGGUUACGGUUCUGGGACAGGAAUGUCAAGCAAAAUCUGGAACCAAGAAAGAUGAAGAAUUGAGACGCGGAGUACGUGAGUGGCAAAGCGGCAGAGUAAGCGACAGAGAGAAACGCAGCACUCGGCGGAGGUAAGCGGUGGAGAACAACGCAGCAAAGGCGCAUAACAAUGAACAAGCGGCGUUGAGAUGGAGCAAGUGACGGAAAUAGUGAGAUGGAAGCCAUGGAACAAGUGACAGAGAGUGUGACGAGAGAUAGAUAAGGCAAUUGCUGCAAUUCAAUCAGGCACGAGGGAGGUUGAUAGGCUCUCGGACAGGAUACUCAUGAUGAGAAGAUGACACCUAUUGAAGAUAUCAAAUCUCUAAACAUGAAAACAUAACCACGGGGAUGAUUGAAGGUGAUUGAAGAUCCGUUUGUUGAUACUGAAAAGAGCUGCAUACUGCAUUGGAAGACGCUAGGAAAAGGCUUCGUGUAAUAGAGGGCUGAAGCUUCUUUGUGGAAAGACACCGCUUUUAUAGUCUCUGAACAUGUUGUCUUCUCUGAUAGAACUGUUAGUGUGAAACGAAUUUCAAGGAGUGUCCUUAUGAGCUGGACAGACGGCUACACGAGCUAAGAAAAGGCUUCAUGUGACAGGUUGAAGCUUCUUGGUGGAAAGACACUGCGUAUAUAGUCUCUGAAUAUAUACCAGAACUGUUUAGAAUCAACUCCAACUAUCAGAAUCGUCGUUACCCUCUCUUUAGGUAAGAAAUUCAGUGUUUCAAGUUUUAUUAGAAAACAAAAGUGUUUGUAAUCUUGUGAAGAAGCUUAAUGUUAAUUAGUGUUAAUCUCAUUGAACAGAGACCAAAUAAGAUAGAAGAUUAUGUAAA
Molecule: long non-coding RNA, 986 nt
Organism: Brassica napus (rape)
Lineage: Eukaryota; Viridiplantae; Streptophyta; Magnoliopsida; Brassicales; Brassicaceae
Exons: 3
Source: RefSeq, a predicted model, not a curated record